GACGAACGCUGGCGGCGUGCUUAACACAUGCAAGUCGAACGGAAAGGCCCUGCUUUUUUUUUUUUCUCGUUUGGCGAACGUGUGUGUAACACGUGUGUAACCUGCCCUUUACUUUGGUAUAUCUUCAGGUAACUUUGUCUAAUACCGUAUAUGAUCUCCUGCUGCAUGUUGGUUGUUGGAAAGUUUCGGCGGUUGGGGAUGGACUCGCGGCUUAUCAGCUUGUUGGUGGGGUAGUGGCUUACCAAGGCUUUGACGGGUAGCCGGCCUGAGAGGGUGACCGGGGACAAGGGGACUGAGAGACGGAACAGACUGCAACGGGAGGCAGGAGUGGGGAAUAUUGCAAAAUGGGCGGAAGCAUGAUGAAGAAAAGCAGCGAGCGGGAAGAAGGCAAUCGGGUUGAAAAAAGAGUUAGAAUGAGAAGAAGAGGGAGUGACGGUAAUGGGUAAAGAAGCAACGGCUAACUACGUG
RNAcentral lists this ribosomal RNA (468 nucleotides) under uncultured bacterium. Its description in RNAcentral is "partial 16S ribosomal RNA". It matches the Rfam family "Bacterial small subunit ribosomal RNA", at positions 28 to 507 of the family's 1533-position model. The record is from RNAcentral.